GAGUGACAAGGGGACGGGAGCGGGUGGAGUACGGAGGUCCGGGUCGUUGUCCGGAGUUAUUGGGCGUGAAGCGAGCGGAGGCUGUUAGAUAAGUCUGAAGUGGAAGGCAGUGGCUCAACCAUUGUAGGCUUUUGAAACUGUUUAACUUGAGUGCAGAAGGGGAGAGUGGAAUUCCAUGUGUAGCGGUGAAAUGCGUAGAUAUAUGGAGGAUCACCGGUGGCGAAAGCGGCUCUCUGGUCUGUAACUGACGCUGAGGCUCGAAAGCGUGGGGAGCGAACAGGAUUAGAUACCCUGGUAGUC
This 300-nucleotide ribosomal RNA is filed under the name uncultured Lactobacillus sp. RNAcentral describes it as "bacterial SSU rRNA". The stretch from base 53 to 300 matches the Rfam family "Bacterial small subunit ribosomal RNA", at positions 547 to 795 of the family's 1533-position model. The record is from RNAcentral. Lineage: Bacteria; Bacillati; Bacillota; Bacilli; Lactobacillales; Lactobacillaceae.